AGACGGCCAUCCCCCAGGCCCAGCCUUGCCCACAAGAUUCCCAGAUUUCACAACUGGGGCUGGCGCUGAAUCAUGUACAGUCACGGAGGCUGAGAUGGCUGACGGGGUAGGUGGCUGUGGCCUGAUGUGUCACUUUUGGCCUCAAACUGAGGCAAUGGGGACGAAGUGGCUGCGAGGCGCAGUAUCUGGCAUAUGUGUGAGAAACAACCACAGUGCCCUGGGGAGGGGCCACGUCCUCACCCCGCACCGCCAGGGUCUCAGCGUGUCUCCCAAAGGUCAUGUGGGCCUUUAAGAGGUGGUUGGGUCCUGAGAGCUCUGCCCUUAUGAAUGGAUUAGUAUCAUUAUUGCAGGAGUGGCUUCAUGAUGGAGAGAGUGGAUUUGUCAUGAAAGUGAGUUCGGCCAUUCCUUGCUGUCUCACGUGCCACCUCUUGCCAUGGGAUGCCCUCGCCAUGGGAUGACAGCAAGAAGGCCCUUGCUUGAGUGAGCCCCUCCAUCUUCGGCUCUCCGGCCUCCAGGACUGUUAGAAAUACAUCUCUGUUCUUUGUAAAUUACCCAGGCUGUAGUACUCUGUUAUAGCAACACAAAACAGACUAAGACACUACUAUGUAGAUGAAGAAACAGGCCCAAGAGGUGAGGAGUGUUGUCCAGGUCUUCUGGCCAGAGGAGCGGCAGAGAUGGGAUUUCAACCCUGGGACUGUGUGGCUUGUGACCACUCCUAGCUUCAGCCCUGCCCGGUGCUGAGGGGUUUGGGGCCAGAACGAUGGCCAGAUGUUUGGGCACACUGGGCCCUACCCACCUGGAAAGAGGCUGGCCUGGGGUUGAAUGAGAACCAGAAGUGACUCAGGCUAGGACCCCUCUGCACCCUCCCUCAGGCCGUGGGUAAUUACCUGCCCAGGUUAAUAGCGCCCACUUCCCGCCACCUUUCAUCAAGGCUCCUGGAGCUGCCAGGCAGUAAUUAACCCUCACAGCACCCUUCUGAAGUCAGCACUGGAGGCAGACGUGUGAUGAAACACGUUUAUUACAGGAAGCACCAGUUAGCCCAGAUGCUUCUCAUCUUUGGAGUUGAGCUGCAGGCUGGAGACCUGGAAGGCCCUCGCAGCGCCUGCUCCCAUCCUCUCACCUCACGAAAGCGCAGGAAUGUGGGUUUGGAGCCAAUGAAAAGUACUGGAAUCUGGCUCUGCUCUGUGACCCUGGACAAGUCACUGCCCCUCUCUGGGCUUCAGUUUCCUCCUUGGUAACACAGAAUGAUUAUACCUACCCCUUGGGUUUGUUGACCUGAAUCUACCCCUCAGUCAUUGCCUUUCCUUCUUGCUGCAGCCACACUGGCCCCUUGACAGUUCCUUGAACACAACAAGCCCUUUCCCACCUCAGGGCCUUUGCAUGUGCAGUGCCAGAUGCCUGGAAUGUCCUUCCUUCCAAUCUCCCCAUGGCCGGCUCAUUCUCAUCUUUCUUGGCUCAAAUGUUACCUCCCCAACCUAGACAGCACCGCUGCCACCUCUUCACCCCGUCUUACUCUUCUUCAAGCACUUCUGGAGGUAUCUUGCUAUUUAUCUUGUUUAUAUCUUUUUCAGCUCCAUGAGGGCAGGGGAUUUUGUCUGUUUCAUUCACAAUGUGUUCCCAGAGCUCAGCACAGUGUCAGGCACACACUAGAAGUGCUGGAACGUUCCUGGGAUCUAGGGAGCUGACUCCAGUCCUGGAAGCUGUCCCAGAAUUCUGGAAUGUUGGAAUUCAAACGGCCUCCUGCCCAUUUUCCGGAGGAGGAACAUAAGACCCAGAGAGGGGAAGGGGUUGGCCUGAGGUCAUACAAUGUGCAGAGACGAGCUAGAGUUUGCUGGGAGAAGGUGCGGGUGUGUGGACAAGUCAGCAUCUAUCUCCCAUUUUCAGGGUUGGCCAUGAUUUGUGAAGGAGAUGCCAUUUUCCAUUGGAUGGACAGUGAGCAAGUGAACGCUUAGAGAAGAAGAGGACAAAACAAGGGAAAAGCCUGCCUGACAGGAAGCAGCACAGAGCUGGACAGGCUUUGAACUCCUGGAUCCCACUGUACCUGAAAUUAGGCACCUUCAACUUUCUAGUUAUGUGAGCCACUGUCUUUCCCAUUUUUGGCUGAAAACAGUUGGGACUGGCUUUCUGUCCCUUGCAUACAGAAGGUGCUGACUGACCCCUGCCCCAUGGAAGAAGAUACUCCAGGCAGAGGAAAUAGUGUGUAUAGACACCCCUAAGCGAAUGCCAAGCGGGGCACUCAUGUACCAAGAAGAAGGAGGAGGAGGCACCUGGGAGCUGAGCUUAAGAGUUAGUCGGGUGGUCAAGGUGGGAGAAGGGGGUAUCUUUAGCAGAGGGAACAACCAUUGCAAAAGCUUGGAGGGGUGACUAGUUAGUGAAGAUCAACUGUGUGCUGAGCUCGUGUUGGGUGGCAAGGGACACAGACGAAAAGGGCACGGUGGAACCCAGCUACUUCUCACCUGCUCCAGCGCAGUGCAGGCUUGUCUGCUUUUGGAGCCGAGCCUGGACACCUCCGUGUCCUUCCCCCGGCAGAGUGCUGCCAGCACGCUGUCUCAGACUCUCCAGCAUCUCCUGGUUGAUGUGCAUCAUGGGGACCACACAAGAUUAUUUUAUAGGCUGCACAGGCAAAGCAUAAAAUCACCUCGGGUCACAUAGCGAGAGUUAUUCUCUCUGCAAAUUCUUUACAGUCUUUCCUUUAUAUCCAGAAGAGUCUCUGUGUGGUGCUAACUUGCCUCGAAGACCAAAUAAUUGCUAGUCUCCCUUUGUGAAAAGGAGAGCAGGUGUCAGGCUCAUUCAUGUCUCAGGCACACAAUUGUAUCUAGCUAGACUUUUCAAAAUGUCCUAUAGAGCUGCAGCACAUAUGAAUGAGGUGUCCAGCUGGUCCCAAACCUGUAAUCGGCACCCCAGUGAGCAGACUGGACAUCCCCACCCCCACAGCUGCCCUUUCUCCCCUCCACUCAUGUUCCCUCUAGGGCCACCACGAUCCCGACUUGUAUCACCACAGAUGAGUUUCACAUGUUUUUGAAUUUUACAUCUUAUCUGUUUUCUGUUCCUAUACAAGUUUGCCUUUUUUGAAUUCCAUAUAAGUGGGAUUCUACAAUGUGUUAUCUCAAUUUGAGUCUGUUUUUUUUUUCCUGCUCAGCAUGAUGUUUUUGAGAUGCAUAUAUGCGGUUUUGUGUAUCUGUAGAUGGUUCUUUUUUAUUGCAGAAUAAUGUUCCAGGGUAUGGAUGUACCAAAGCUUGUUCAUCCAUUCACCAGCUGAGGGAUAUUUGGACUGUUUCCAGUUUUCAGCCAUUAUAAAUAAAGCCACUAGAAACAUUUGCAAACAGGUUUUUAUGUGAACAUAAAUUUUUGUUUAUCUUGGGUAAAUUUCUAGGAGUGGAAUUGCUGGGCCAGGUGGCCAAGUGUAUGUUUCACUUUAUCAGAAACCGCUGAGCUGUUUUCCAAGGUGUCUGUACCAUUUUUCAUCCCUACCAGCAAUGUAUGAAAGUGUCAGUUGCUUCGUAUUCUCACCAGCACUUGGUGGUGUUAGUUUUUUGUGUGUGUACAUGUGUUUUACUUUUAGUCAUUCAAAUAGGUGAUAAUAGUAUCUCAUUGUGGUGUUAGUUUGCAUUUCCCUAAUGACUAAUGAUGUUGAACAUCUUUGUAUGUGUUUCUUUGCCAUCCGUAUAUUUUCUUUGGUGUAGUAUCUGUUCAAACUUUAUGUCAGUUAAAAAAAAAGACCCAAUUGUUUUCUUCUUAAUAGAUUUGGAGAGUUCUUUAUAUAUAUUCUGGAUACUAGUCAAGCCUUUGUGAAAUAUGUGAUUUGCAAAUAUUUUCUCCUGUUCUGUGGCUUGUCUUUUUAUUCUUUCAAUAGGUAGACUUUAAUAACAUCGUUUUGUUUUCUUUUUAAGUAUUUUUCUGGUUAUCUUUGAUUUGUGGCAUGUAUUCUUUGGUUUUUCAAUUUUAGUGAUAACACCAAAUGUUUUCUUUUAAAAUGAAUUUAUUUAAGUAAAAACGUCAGUAAAUUUGAAGAAACACAUUAAAUAAGGAAUAGUAGAAGUGGACAGUAGACAGCAUAAAAAUCGUGAAGGCAGUUUCCAAUUUGCAUAACCAAAGUGUGGGCAGCUCCGAUUCGUUCGUCAACAAAUACUGAUGGAGCCCCCACUGUCCACCAGGCUCUGAGCCAGGUGCUGGGGACACAGCACCAAGCGAGAUAGUUGUUUGCUCUUUUAAUGCUGGUUUUUCUCCAGUGAGUCUCUCUUCAUCUUUCAAAAGCCAAUUUGAAUGACCCUUCCUUCAUCCAGACCUUCCCUGGAAUGUUUGUCACACUCUACUGCAAAUUUCUAUUUCUGUAUCUCCCAGGCAAGGGGCAUGUCGGGCAGCCUCUGGUAGGGUUGUAGAGAGCUUGGUGCAUAGAUAUCUCAAUAAAUAGCCUCUCACAUAGUACAAGCUAUGAUGAGGUGCUGAAGACCAGUUGCUGAUUCAAUUGGUUGAAACUAGCCAGGCCUGAUGAAGGGGCCUGAGGACCUUCCCUGCUGCAGUCUGGCUGACCCCAAGCAAACCAAAGUCUCUCCCCUUGGCCUCCCCUCCCACAUAAAGAUACCAAGAGAAAAAGCCUCCCAAACCCACUGCCUUCAGCCUCUGCUAUUUGCUUCCCAUCCAGUGCCCAUGGAUGCCUUUCCUGCAAGACACAGUAUUCACACAGACACUUACCAGGCAUCUUUGUUCUGACCUGCCCCAGGACCACCACUUUCACCUUGGCCUCUUACCACCAUUCCCCUGUUCCUCCACUCCAGCACACCAGCCAGUGUUUGCCCCUCCAACAUGCCCAGCUCAUUCCCACCCCUGGGCCUUUGCACUAGCUCUUCCCUAGUUCUUUGCCUUCUCUAGCUCUCCACAUUCAGUUCUGAACUUCACUGACCCUCCUCAGAGGCUCUCUAGGCUAUGCUACCAAAGCCCUCUCUCCUCUUUUUUUUUUUUUUUUUUUUUUUUUUUUUGAGACAGGGUCUUACUCUGUCACCUAGGCUGGAGUGCAGUGGUAUAAUCAUAGCUCACUGCAGCCUCCAUCUCCCAGGCUCAAGUGAUCCUCCUGCCUCAGCCUCCUGAAUAGCUGAGACUACAGGUGUGUGCCAUCAUGCCCAGCUAUAUACAUAUAUUUUUAAAGUAGGGAUAUACUCACUCACUGAGCUCAGUAUGUAGCUCAGGCUGGUCUCAAACUCCUGAGCUCAAACAAUCCUCCCACCUCGGCCCUCCAAGUGCUAGGAUUACAGGCGUGAGCCACUGUGCUCAGACACCCCAUGUAUUUUUGAUCCCUUCAUUCUGUUUCUGUCCUUUGUAGCAUGGAAUGCUCUCAUUUCCGAGUUUAUUUGUGUGUUUGUUUGUUUCUCGCCGUGUCCCCUGUUGGAGUGGCAGUUCCAUGAGGGAUUUGGGUCUGUCCUUCUCUCUAUCUCCCCAGUGCCUAGCACAGUGUUCAGCACACAGUCGGUACUCAAUCAGAAUUUGUUGAAUCUAUGAGUGAAUGAAUGAAUGAGCUCAUGAGCUCUCCCUUCUCCAGAUGCACUCACGGCAAAGUUGAACCCAUCUAUCUGCCCAUGCGUCAGGCUAGUUGUCCUGUGGGCCCCUCCUGGGUGGGUACUGAGGGAUGCCCACUGGGUCCAGCCAGGCCUGUGUCUUGUCAGCUGCCCAGGCUAAGGGACUUUCCAUUGUCCUUGGAGUUGGCCUGUGGAAAGUUGUUCUCAGGACCUCGUGAGCCUGGGGCCAUGGAUGGGGCUAAAGGUAACUGCAAGGUAUAGGGACCCGGCGUGAAAUUCCAUCAGUUAACACUGUAAGUGAGGCUUUCCAGCUCCCUUUCGUCCUCCCUGUGAUGCCAAGGGGAGGGAGAAACUCCACGUGGGGCUUGUGUGUCUUGAGCACCUUCCUACCACCUGCUUUUUCUUCGGAAGAAACAGAGCAGAUCCCAAGUACAAGCCGUCAUCGGCAAUAGUAGCUGGCUUUGUUUCACUUUUUUGUAUAUUUCACCAAUUGUCUUCCAUUUGCAGCAAGUGCCUUAGAUUGGGUGCCUGCAAGCAGACCUUAACAGAAUAAACUGAAGGCAAGUAGCCUAUUUGGGAGAUGCCUCCAGAAAGCACUGGUAGGGAAGUGAGAUCAGGGAGGAAGGGCUGCCAAUCUCAAGAGCGCUACCAAGCCAGUAACCACUUAGGCAGCUGGGGCUCGGUCCUGCUGUGGCACGCUGGGAGCCCAUGUAGUAACGGAGUUAGCCCCCCAGGGGCGGAGAUCGGGUGGUCAGGGAGCUGGGGAAGGGACAUGUCAGCUCCUGCCUAUCAUUGCUUGACAGCUGCCGCUUGGAGUGUUAGUUCCCAGCACAUCCAGCCUGCCCCAUGAGCAAAGCUCACAGGUGAAGGGGACAGGUGCUGCAGGUGGAAUCCUGUCUGUGUUCACCGGAGAAAAGGGAGAGGAGGUAUGGGCAGGGCACAGACAACAAAGGCCUCACAGUCAACACUGGUUCCUCAUUUAAAGCCAGGAUAAAAUGAGUUCAUUUAAAAUUAAGUUUUCGCAAACAUUUAAAAAGCGAAUUGAUGGAAAGAGUAGGUAAUACCUGCAGGUGAAAUGUGAACAUGGCAAAUGCUGCUAUUUUUCAAGGCGUCCAAAGCCUUUAAUAGGCAAACAGUGUUCUUCACGACCCACAAGAAUGGCGUGUUUGGGGCGGUGAAAACACUCUCCCUUUCCUCCCAGCAUGCCAGGCUCAUGCUCACUCCUAACACUGCCCAGGACCCCUGGGAGUCCUGGAAAUGGGCCAUGAGGCUUGGAGGCAGAAGCCCUGUGUGACUUGGGGUUUGUCCCUUAACAUCUCUGGGCCUGUCUGUUAAAAGGGGAUGUUCUCAAGUCACAUAAAAGAGUAAAUGUGCAAAAAUAGUCAAAGCAAUGCUGAAAGAAGAACUAAGAGAGAGGACUUGUCCGUCCAGACAUUAGAAUAUAUGACAAAGGCAUAGAAAUAAAACAGUUUGGUAUUGGCAUCUAAGUGGACAAAUACAUCACGGGAACAGAAUAGCAUCCAGGAAUUAACCCGGCUAUCACCUGGCCUACCUCCACUCAUAGAUGUGAAAGGAUUUAGAAAAGGGAAGAGAUUGGCAGGCAUGGGAUUCUCUGGAUUAUGUUAUGUCUGGGCUGGUGAAGAAGCUUCCAACAGGCUCCCCAUCUGCAGCCCUCCCCUCUAACCUACCAGCCAUGGCACCAGGGACACUCACUGUCAUGAGCUGCACUCACCCCCGCUCUGCUCUGGAAAUAUCAGAGCCUCCCACGCAAGAUGGGUUAGACCACAGUUGUCACCAUUCCUCCUUUUGCACUUCUCUUUGAUUCUUCUGAUUAACCCAAGGAGAAAGUCUCAGGCGGGCGCGGCUGGACUUGAAUACCUCUCCCACGUUUGCUCGUCUCCCUUUAUGAGGCAGAGCUGGCCUUAAGCUCAGGGCCUUCAGCAGGCAGGAGAAUGGAGCAAGAAUUUGGUAACGUUCUUUUGUGAUUGUUGUUUUAAGGUUACUUUCUCUUUACAGAAAUGAAAAGUUGUUUCCUCCUUCUGAUAGUAACACAAAUUUUCCUUUUAAAAUAAUUUUUUCUAAUCCAUAUUACAAUGAGAAUGAACCUCCAAAACAUGAUGCUAAGUGAAAAAAGCCAGACACAGAGGUCUUUUUUUUUUUUUUUUUUUUUUUUUGAGACAGGUUCUUGCUCUGUUGCCCAGGCUGGAGUGCAGUGGUGUGAUCUCGGCUCAUUGCAACAUCUGCCUCCCAGGCUCAAUGAUUCUCUCACCUCAGCCUCCCCAGUAGCUGGUACUACAGGUGCGUGCCACCACACCUGGCUAAUUUUUGUAUUUUUUGUAGAGGCAGGGUCUCCCUAUUUUGCACAGGCUGGUCUCAAACUCCUGGGCUGAAGAAAUCCUUCCGCCUCAGUCUCCCAAAGUGCUGGGACUACAGGCGUGGGCCACCAUGCCUGGCCAGAAGGUCACAUAUUGUAUGAUUCCCUUUCCAGGAAAUCUCCAAAAUAGGUACAUCCAUUGAGACCAGUGAAGAAUGGUGGUUGUUAGGGGAAUGGGGAGCGGCUGCUUUAUGGUCACAGGGUCUCCUUUUGGGGUGAUGAAAAUGUUUUGUGAUUAGCUAGAGGUGAUGGUUGCAGAACACAAUGCAAAAAUGCCACCGAAAUGUUCACUUUAAAAUGCUUAAUAUGAUGCUAUGUGAACUUCGUCUCAGUAAGUUAUUUUUUUAAAAAACCAGUGGAGUAAACCAAAAAAUCAAUUUACUUAAGAAAAGGUAUGAAUGGCUUUAAAGAUGGCUUUUAAGUGACGUGUGGGAGACAGUGGCUAAGGGGAUGAUUCUCACCCAUCGUGAGCCUGGGACCAUGGAUGGGGCCAGAGGUAGCUGCAAGGUACAGGGACCCGGCGUGAAAUUCCAUCAGUUAACACUGUAGGUGAGGCUUUCCAGCUCCCUUUCGUCCUCCCUGUGAUGCCAAGGGGAGGGAGAAACUCCACGUGGGGCUUGUGUGUCUUGAACACACAUUGGCUUAUACCUUGCUCAGGCCUGGAAGGCCCUCUGCUCACUGACGGAAUCCUAUGCAUCCCUGGGAACCCAGCUCAAGCCUCACCUCUACGGGAAGCCCUUCCUGAUUACACAGGUGGUCAGGCGGGGUCAGUCCUGCAGCCCUUCAGACCCGGUUGUGAAUCCCAGUCUUGCCACUUACUAGUGGGAGGAGUCUCUUAACUUAGACAUAUUGUUUGACUAAGAGGGCCUCAGUUUCCUUAUCUGGAAAAUGGGGGCUUAUGAUAGCUCUUAUCUCACUAGGUUGAGCUCCUACAUAGAAAGUUUUAGGACAGAACCUGGGGAGAUGUAGCUGCCCUUCAUUCACACUUCAGUCUGACACUGAUCACAUCACAGUUGCAUUCCUUUUCCUCCUGUCUCCUACACUGUGGGCAAGGGCUCAGCCUUUGUGAUCUCUGUAUCAUGUUGCUGUACAGAACUCACACACAGUAGGCACCCAAGAAGGGCGGGUUGGCUGACGUGCAGAGGAACUCCCAGAAUUCCACCUCUUCUCUCACCUCCACGGUCCCCACCCUGGUCCAGACCCUGCAUGGCUUACCUGGACUAUUGUGGUCUCCUCCUCCCUGGUUUCCUGGCUUCUGUCCUGAAUCCUCCACCUCCAAUCCAUUCCCCACAUGCAGCCAGAGAGAUCCCGUGAGAAUCUAAGUCAGAUCUCGUCCCUUCUCUGCCUGGAAACUUCCCACAGCUCUCACCUUGCUUAGAGGAAAAGCCAAAGUCCUUCCCGUGGCUCAUCCACUGUGGGACAUGCCCCAGGUCCUCUCUGCUCUCUGUUCCUCCUCCCCAAGGCCUCAUCCCUACGACAGUCUCCUUGUUGUUGCUCCGACACUCCAGGCUCCACCUCAGAACCUCGCAUCUGCCGUUCUGGUUUCCUGGAGCACCCAUUACCCCACACGGCCCGCUGCUCACUUCCUCACCUCCUCCAGGCCUCUGCUCAAAUAGCACCUGCUAGGGAAGCUUCCCCCUGCUUCCCAGGUUUUGCUGGACUCCAAAGCUCUUUUCUUCCCAGAGGCAAAGCCCUUGGCUGGGGUCCUGGGCCCAGCCCGGUGACUCAGGCGGAGAAGAUGCUCCCAGGCCUCCCGCUGGAUUUGGGGCCCAGGGUCAGCCAUGGGGGUAGGCGGUACCUAGGCUGUACCUGGCGCAGAGGCCUCUGCCUGCCCCUGCCGUGGGAGGCAGCCCUGCCCUGCACACACGGGCUUCCAGGCUGCGGGUGGGAAAGCCCCACAUCCUCCUCUGCUUACCUGACUCCAGCUGACUCAGACCCCCAGCCCUGGCCAGAGGGGAGCCGCAGCUGCUCCGCCCCUUGAUGGGAAGCAGAGCUGUGGCUGUGAGGGCCUGGC
This 9898-nucleotide long non-coding RNA is filed under the name Homo sapiens (human). Its description in RNAcentral is "non-protein coding LINC01270:17". The record is from RNAcentral. Lineage: Eukaryota; Metazoa; Chordata; Mammalia; Primates; Hominidae.